GUCUUUUUGAAUAAUAAUUUAAAGUCUAAUCUGCCCACUGAUACUUAAAUAUAUUAAAGGGCUGCAGUAUUAUGACUGUACAAAGGUAGCAUAAUCAAUAGUUUUUUAAUUGGAAACUUGUAUGAAAGAUUUGAUGAAAUAUAAACUGUCUCUAAUUUAUUAUUAAAAAUUUAUUUUUUAGUAAAAAAGCUAAAAUAAUUUUAAAAGACGAGAAGACCCUAUAGAGUUUUAUAUUUUAUUUUAUUUUUAAAUUAUAUAAAAAUUAAUUUAAAAAUAAAGUAAAGUAUUAUAUUGGGGUGAUAAAAAAAUUUAAUAAACUUUUUUUAAAAAAUUAACAUAUAAAUAAAUGAAAAAUUGAUCCAUUAUUAAUGAUUAUAAGAAAAAAUUACCUUAGG
This 395-nucleotide ribosomal RNA is filed under the name Taygetis andromeda. RNAcentral's name for it is "partial 16S ribosomal RNA". Lineage: Eukaryota; Metazoa; Arthropoda; Insecta; Lepidoptera; Nymphalidae. The record is from RNAcentral.